Non-coding RNA from Streptomyces oceani, 3248 nucleotides. NCBI's taxonomy places the organism in Bacteria, Bacillati, Actinomycetota, Actinomycetes, Kitasatosporales, Streptomycetaceae. The record is from Rfam.
GGCCAAGUUGUUAAGGGCGCACGGUGGAUGCCUUGGCAUCAGGAACCGAUGAAGGACGUGGGAGGCCGCGAUAGGCCCCGGGGAGUUGUCAACCGAGCUGUGAUCCGGGGGUGUCCGAAUGGGGAAACCCGGCAGUCGUCAUGGGCUGUCACCUGCAUCUGAAUGUAUAGGGUGUGUGGAGGGAACGCGGGGAAGUGAAACAUCUCAGUACCCGUAGGAAGAGAAAACAACCGUGAUUCCGGGAGUAGUGGCGAGCGAAACUGGAGUAGGCUAAACCGUAUGUGUGUGAUACCCGGCAGGGGUUGCGUGUGCGGGGUUGUGGGAGUUGCUGUGAUCGUUCUGCCGGACGGUCGGUGAGUGAGAAACCAUUGUGAUAGGCGAAGGGCAUGCGAAAGGCCCGGCGUAGAGGGUAAGACCCCCGUAGCUGAAAUCAUGGUGGCUCAUUAUGUGAUUUCCCAAGUAGCAUGGGGCCCGAGAAAUCCUGUGUGAAUCUGGCGGGACCACCCGUUAAGCCUAAAUAUUUCCUGGUGACCGAUAGCGGAUAGUACCGUGAGGGAAUGGUGAAAAGUACCCCGGGAGGGGAGUGAAAGAGUACCUGAAACCGUGUGCCUACAAGCCGUGGGAGCUGAGCAUGGGGCGCUUUUGCGUCGUGUGUGGUGACUGCGUGCCUUUUGAAGAAUGAGCCUGCGAGUUUGCGGCAUGUUGCGAGNAAGCGUGGCGAGACUUUGUUUUGUUGCGUGGUGACUGCGUGCCUUUUGAAGAAUGAGCCUGCGAGUUUGCGGCAUGUUGCGAGGUUAACCUGUUGUGGGGGAGCCGUAGUGAAAGCGAGUCCGAUANGGUUAACCUGUUGUGGGGGAGCCGUAGUGAAAGCGAGUCCGAUAAGGGCGUUGAGUAGCGUGUCCUAGACCCGAAGCGGAGUGAUCUAGCCAUGGGCAGGGUGAAGCGGAGGUAAGACUUCGUGGAGGCCCGAACCCACCAGGGUUGAAAACCUGGGGGAUGAUCUGUGGUUAGGGGUGAAAGGCCAAUCAAACUUCGUGAUAGCUGGUUCUCCCCGAUAUGCAUUUAGGUGCAGCGUCGUGUGUUUCUUGCCGGAGGUAGAGCACUGGGUAGGUGAUGGGCCUUACCGGGUUACUGACCUUAGCCAAACUCCGAAUGCCGGUAAGUGAGAGCGCGGCAGUGAGACUGUGGGGGAUAAGCUCCAUGGUCGUGAGGGAAACAGCCCAGAGCAUCGACUAAGGCCCCUAAGCGUGUGCUAAGUGGGAAAGGAUGUGGAGUCGCAGAGACAACCAGGAGGUUGGCUUAGAAGCAGCCAUCCUUGAAAGAGUGCGUAAUAGCUCACUGGUCAAGUGAUUCUGCGCCGAUAAUGUAGCGGGGCUCAAGCAUACCGCCGAAGUCGUGUCAUUGCAGUGUGAACCCUUAACGGGGGCUGUGAUGGGUAGGGGAGCGUCGUGUGCCGGGUGAAGCAGCCCUGUGAGGGAGUUGUGGAUGGUGCGCGAGUGAGAAUGCAGGCAUGAGUAGCGAUACGCACGUGGGAAACGUGUGCGCCGAUUGACUAAGGGUUCCUGGGUCAAGUUGAUCUGCCCAGGGUAAGUCGGGGCCUAAGGCGAGGCCGACAGGCGUAGUCGAUGGAUAACCGGUUGAUAUUCCGGUACCCGCUAGGCCGCGUUCAACAUCGAAUCAGGUGAUGCUAAGUCCGUGAAGCUGCCAUGUUCUUUCGGGAGUGUGGUGGGUGGAGCCGAUGGUCCGAGCUUGUAGUAGGUGAGUGAUGGGGUGACGCAGGAAGGUAGUCCAGCCCGGGCGGUGGUUGUCCCGGGGUAAGGGUGUAGCCCGUUGUGCAGGGAAAUCCGUGCAACAUGUGGGUGAGGCCUGAUGCCGAGCCGAUUGUGGUGAAGUGGAUGAUCCUAUGCUGUCGAGAAAAGCCUCUAGCGAGUGGUGUGGCGGCCCGUACCCUAAACCGACUCAGGUGGUCAGGUAGAGUAUACCGAGGCGUUCGGGUGAACUAUGGUUAAGGAACUCGGCAAAAUGCCCCCGUAACUUCGGGAGAAGGGGGGCCAUGUCUGGUGAUCCACCGUUGCGUGGUGAGCUGGGUGUGGUCGCAGAGAGCAGCGAGAAGCGACUGUUUACUAAAAACACAGGUCCGUGCGAAGCCGUAAGGCGAUGUAUACGGACUGACGCCUGCCCGGUGCUGGAACGUUAAGGGGACCGGUUAGCCACUUUGGUGGUGAAGCUGAGAACUUAAGCGCCAGUAAACGGCGGUGGUAACUAUAACCAUCCUAAGGUAGCGAAAUUCCUUGUCGGGUAAGUUCCGACCUGCACGAAUGGCGUAACGACUUCUUGACUGUCUCAACCAUAGGCCCGGUGAAAUUGCAGUAUGAGUAAAGAUGCUCGUUUCGCGCAGCAGGACGGAAAGACCCCGGGACCUUUACUAUAGCUUGAUAUUGGUGUUCGGUUCGGCUUGUGUAGGAUAGGUGGGAGACUGUGAAGUUGCCGCGCUAGCGGUGGUGGAGUCGUUGUUGAAAUACCACUCUGGUCGUGUUGGAUGUCUAACCUGGGUCCGUGAUCCGGAUCAGGGACAGUGUCUGGUGGGUAGUUUAACUGGGGCGGUUGCCUCCUAAAGAGUAACGGAGGCGCCCAAAGGUUCCCUCAGCCUGGUUGGUCAUCAGGUGGUGAGUGUAAGUGCACAAGGGAGCUUGACUGUGAGACUGACGGGUCGAGCAGGGACGAAAGUCGGGAUUAGUGAUCCGGCGGUGGCUUGUGGAAGCGCCGUCGCUCAACGGAUAAAAGGUACCCCGGGGAUAACAGGCUGAUCUUCCCCAAGAGUCCAUAUCGACGGGAUGGUUUGGCACCUCGAUGUCGGCUCGUCGCAUCCUGGGGCUGGAGUCGGUCCCAAGGGUUGGGCUGUUCGCCCAUUAAAGCGGUACGCGAGCUGGGUUUAGAACGUCGUGAGACAGUUCGGUCCCUAUCCGCUGCGCGCGUUGGAGUCUUGAGAAGGGCUGUCCCUAGUACGAGAGGACCGGGACGGACGGACCUCUGGUGUGCCAGUUGUUCUGCCAAGGGCAUGGCUGGUUGGCUACGUUCGGAAAGGAUAACCGCUGAAAGCAUCUAAGCGGGAAGCCUGCUUCGAGAUGAGGGCUCCCUCCAACUUGAUUGGUUAAGGCUCCCGGGAGAUGACCGGGUUGAUAGGCCGGAUAUGGAAGCCUUGUAAGGGGUGGAGUUGACCGGUACUAAUAGGCCGAGGGCUUGACCAU